Molecule: transfer RNA, 96 nt
Filed under: Geitlerinema splendidum
Lineage: Bacteria; Bacillati; Cyanobacteriota; Cyanophyceae; Geitlerinematales; Geitlerinemataceae
Also listed under: 3 other names
Description: tRNA-Glu
Source: RNAcentral
AGCAUCGUGGACGUAGCUUGCUUCCCGAAGGGUAUAGAGAAGUCGCCGUGCCUCUCAAGCAUGGAGAAGCGGGUGCAACCCCCGUCGAUGCUCCCA